This 495-nucleotide ribosomal RNA is filed under the name uncultured bacterium. RNAcentral's name for it is "partial 16S ribosomal RNA". It matches the Rfam family "Bacterial small subunit ribosomal RNA", at positions 28 to 507 of the family's 1533-position model. The record is from RNAcentral.
GAUGAACGCUGGCGGCGUGCUUAAUACAUGCAAGUCGAACGCUGAAGGAGGAGCUUGCUCUUCUGGAUGAGUUGCGAACGGGUGAGUAACGCGUAGGUAACCUGCCUGGUAGCGGGGGAUAACUAUUGGAAACGAUAGCUAAUACCGCAUGACAACAGUUAUUGCAUGAUAACUGUUUAAAAGGGGCAACUGCUCCACUACCAGAUGGACCUGCGUUGUAUUAGCUAGUUGGUGAGGUAACGGCUCACCAAGGCGACGAUACAUAGCCGACCUGAGAGGGGGAUCGGCCACACUGGGACUGAGACACGGCCCAGACUCCUACGGGAGGCAGCAGUAGGGAAUCUUCGGCAAUGGACGGAAGUCUGACCGAGCAACGCCGCGUGAGUGAAGAAGGUUUUCGGAUCGUAAAGCUCUGUUGUAAGAGAAGAACGAGUGUGAGAGUGGAAAGUUCACACUGUGACGGUAUCUUACCAGAAAGGGACGGCUAACUACGUG